RNAcentral lists this transfer RNA (68 nucleotides) under Plectrocnemia tsukuiensis. Its description in RNAcentral is "tRNA-Ile". The record is from RNAcentral. Lineage: Eukaryota; Metazoa; Arthropoda; Insecta; Trichoptera; Polycentropodidae.
AAUAAAAUGCCUGAUUUAAAAGGAAUAUUCUGAUAGAAUAAAUAAUGUAUAUUUAAAUACUUUUAUUU